AUCUCCAGUCAGCUCUCCACACAGCAGGGAAGGGGCUUUCCAUACCUUCGAAGGAAGGGCCUGUUGAGCCUGCGUUGCUGAGGGGCUAGACGGGGCCCAUGGCGGAGGGCUGCCUUCAAAACAGCUGGGUGCAGAAAUUAUAGCUUCCUAGUGAUGAUCGGCCCCACUUUGCGUGGCAACACAAUAUGUUCCUAAUGACUGAAUUGUUUAUUUAAUAAAGAAAUCACAACCA
This is a long non-coding RNA of Homo sapiens (human), 232 nucleotides long. NCBI's taxonomy places the organism in Eukaryota, Metazoa, Chordata, Mammalia, Primates, Hominidae. The record is from Ensembl.